RNAcentral lists this ribosomal RNA (649 nucleotides) under Lentilactobacillus buchneri. RNAcentral's name for it is "bacterial SSU rRNA". It matches the Rfam family "Bacterial small subunit ribosomal RNA", at positions 66 to 685 of the family's 1533-position model. The record is from RNAcentral. Lineage: Bacteria; Bacillati; Bacillota; Bacilli; Lactobacillales; Lactobacillaceae.
AUGAUUUUAGGUGCUUGCACUUGAAAGAUUUAACAUUGAGACGAGUGGCGAACUGGUGAGUAACACGUGGGUAACCUGCCCUUGAAGUAGGGGAUAACACUUGGAAACAGGUGCUAAUACCGUAUAACAACCAAAACCACCUGGUUUUGGUUUAAAAGACGGCUUCGGCUGUCACUUUAGGAUGGACCCGCGGCGUAUUAGCUUGUUGGUAAGGUAACGGCCUACCAAGGCGAUGAUACGUAGCCGACCUGAGAGGGUAAUCGGCCACAUUGGGACUGAGACACGGCCCAAACUCCUACGGGAGGCAGCAGUAGGGAAUCUUCCACAAUGGACGAAAGUCUGAUGGAGCAACGCCGCGUGAGUGAUGAAGGGUUUCGGCUCGUAAAACUCUGUUGUUGGAGAAGAACAGGUGUCAGAGUAACUGUUGACAUCUUGACGGUAUCCAACCAGAAAGCCACGGCUAACUACGUGCCAGCAGCCGCGGUAAUACGUAGGUGGCAAGCGUUGUCCGGAUUUAUUGGGCGUAAAGCGAGCGCAGGCGGUUUUUUAGGUCUGAUGUGAAAGCCUUCGGCUUAACCGGAGAAGUGCAUCGGAAACCGGGAGACUUGAGUGCAGAAGAGGACAGUGGAACUCCAUGUGUAGCGGUGAA